AAAGUACAACUAGUAGAAAUAUCUUGGCCCUUCGAUUAAGGUUUGCGUGGUUAGGAUGGUAGUUCAAGCCCAGAAGAUUCAGUGGGUGACUGGUUGAUAGAAUAACAUAAUUUAAGAGGUAAAAAUAACUAAAAAGUAAAUUUAAUGGUGAAAAAUUUGAUAGCACCAAAUGCUUGAUACUAUUAAAAGCACUCGUGUUGAACUAUAUAUAUUGGAGCUACAUAUUUUUCCGGUUUGUGGUGCAAGUAAUAUUUUUUU
Molecule: long non-coding RNA, 258 nt
Filed under: Ananas comosus (pineapple)
Lineage: Eukaryota; Viridiplantae; Streptophyta; Magnoliopsida; Poales; Bromeliaceae
Description: long non-coding RNA (ACOM_LNC009792)
Source: RNAcentral